AUUAAACGCUGGCGGCAUGCCUUACACAUGCAAGUCGAACGGCAGCACGGGGGCAACCCUGGUGGCGAGUGGCGAACGGGUGAGUAAAGCAUCGGAACGUGCCCUGGAGUGGGGGAUAACGUAGCGAGAGUUACGCUAAUACCGCAUAUUCUGUGAGCAGGAAAGCAGGGGAUCGCAAGACCUUGCGCUCUGGGAGCGGCCGAUGUCGGAUUAGCUAGUUGGUGGGGUAAAGGCCUACCAAGGCGACGAUCCGUAGCGGGUCUGAGAGGAUGAUCGCCACACUGGGACUGAGACACGGCCCAGACUCCUACGGGAGGCAGCAGUGGGGAAUUUUGGACAAUGGGCGAAAGCCUGAUCCAGCCAUGCCGCGUGAGUGAAGAAGGCCU
RNAcentral lists this ribosomal RNA (386 nucleotides) under uncultured bacterium. RNAcentral describes it as "bacterial SSU rRNA". It matches the Rfam family "Bacterial small subunit ribosomal RNA", at positions 29 to 417 of the family's 1533-position model. The record is from RNAcentral.